This 74-nucleotide transfer RNA is filed under the name Candidatus Omnitrophota bacterium. RNAcentral describes it as "Candidatus Omnitrophica bacterium tRNA-Glu". It matches the Rfam family "tRNA". From Rfam's summary of the family: Transfer RNA (tRNA) molecules are approximately 80 nucleotides in length. Their secondary structure includes four short double-helical elements and three loops (D, anti-codon, and T loops). Further hydrogen bonds mediate the characteristic L-shaped molecular structure. tRNAs have two regions of fundamental functional importance: the anti-codon, which is responsible for specific mRNA codon recognition, and the 3' end, to which the tRNAs corresponding amino acid is attached (by aminoacyl-tRNA synthetases). tRNAs cope with the degeneracy of the genetic code in two manners: having more than one tRNA (with a specific anti-codon) for a particular amino acid; and 'wobble' base-pairing, i.e. permitting non-standard base-pairing at the 3rd anti-codon position. The record is from RNAcentral. Lineage: Bacteria; Pseudomonadati; Candidatus Omnitrophota.
GACCCCAUCGUCUAGUCUGGUUAGGACAUGGGCCUUUCGAGCCCAGUGCGCCGGUUCAAAUCCGGCUGGGGUCG